Molecule: ribosomal RNA, 548 nt
Filed under: uncultured bacterium
Lineage: Bacteria
Description: bacterial SSU rRNA
Rfam family: Bacterial small subunit ribosomal RNA
Source: RNAcentral
UGGGGAAUUUUGGACAAUGGGCGAAAGCCUGAUCCAGCCAUGCCGCGUGCAGGAUGAAGGCCUUCGGGUUGUAAACUGCUUUUGUACGGAACGAAAAGACUCUGGUUAAUACCUGGGGUCCAUGACGGUACCGUAAGAAUAAGCACCGGCUAACUACGUGCCAGCAGCCGCGGUAAUACGUAGGGUGCAAGCGUUAAUCGGAAUUACUGGGCGUAAAGCGUGCGCAGGCGGUUAUAUAAGACAGAUGUGAAAUCCCCGGGCUCAACCUGGGAACUGCAUUUGUGACUGUAUAGCUAGAGUACGGCAGAGGGGGAUGGAAUUCCGCGUGUAGCAGUGAAAUGCGUAGAUAUGCGGAGGAACACCGAUGGCGAANGCAAUCCCCUGGGCCUGUACUGACGCUCAUGCACGAAAGCGUGGGGAGCAAACAGGAUUAGAUACCCUGGUAGUCCACGCCCUAAACGAUGUCNACUGGUUGUUGGGUCUUCACUGACUCAGUAACGAAGCUAACGCGUGAAGUUGACCGCCUGGGGAGUACGGCCGCAAGGUUG